CCUUCUUUAGCUCAGUUGGUAGAGCGCGAGACUGUAAACGGUUCCCUGUUAUCUCGAUGUCACCUGUUCGACCCAGGUAGGAAGGA
This is a non-coding RNA of Mycena polygramma, 86 nucleotides long. The record is from the annotation of a GenBank genome assembly. NCBI's taxonomy places the organism in Eukaryota, Fungi, Basidiomycota, Agaricomycetes, Agaricales, Mycenaceae.